AGCCUCGUGGUAGAGAAUACAUUAGAUUGCAAAUCUAAAGACGCAGAUUAAUAUCUGCCGGGGCUU
This 66-nucleotide transfer RNA is filed under the name Beaufortia pingi. RNAcentral's name for it is "tRNA-Cys". It matches the Rfam family "tRNA". Rfam says of the family: Transfer RNA (tRNA) molecules are approximately 80 nucleotides in length. Their secondary structure includes four short double-helical elements and three loops (D, anti-codon, and T loops). Lineage: Eukaryota; Metazoa; Chordata; Actinopteri; Cypriniformes; Gastromyzontidae. The record is from RNAcentral.